Pipistrellus kuhlii (Kuhl's pipistrelle) is the source of this 5110-nucleotide long non-coding RNA. RefSeq lists it as uncharacterized. The transcript is spliced from 3 exons. Lineage: Eukaryota; Metazoa; Chordata; Mammalia; Chiroptera; Vespertilionidae. The record is from RefSeq and is a predicted model, not a curated record.
UUAUACAAAGACAUUCCCUGGUGCAGUGUCCUGUCAGCUGGAAAGGAGUGGAAAUGAUUCUUACCUUGGUAAACACAUUAAGCUACACAGGUGGGGAAUCUAGCAAGUUACGUUUUGUUUCCCUCUUGGCAACUUGUGUCAAAGUUACUCUGACCUGAGUCCAUUUCUACUGGGGGAGUCUCAUAACACCUUUGUCAUAAAAGGAGGAGCAAGAUUGCUGCAGAAAGUUUCUCCAAAAUGCCUAAGAGAAGAUUCCUCUGAUGCAGAUAGAUACCUUCAACCCUACACCGGGUUGUUGAAGGGAGAAACGUUUUCUGGCUAGUAAAUCAUACCCCAGCAGCUUUUUGCACAGGGAAGAAGUUGUAUCUAACUGAGGAUGAUCUAAGUAAUUCCUGUUUUAUAUUGGGUACUUUAGGGGGAGGGAGGGUGUCUUUAAAAGACUUGUUUUUUACCUAUAAAUUUAGGUUAUUAUAAAUACAAGAUUUUUGUAUCUUAAAUAAGCCUCAUUCCUAUUUCUUCUCCAUUAACAGUCCAUCCAGAGUGUUAGAAAAAGAAAGAACCCCCAGAGAUAGUCUUUGAGGAGAACUUGGGACAAAAAUCACGGAGUACCUUCCUUUCCCCCAGGAGGACCUCGGUAUCCAUGCUGUUCCUCCUCGCUUCUAGCUAAGGCUGGGCUGUUCCUGCCUGCCCCACGUACCCCAUACAGGGUGGAGCUGCCCCACACUCAUACCCCAGCCCCUCUUCUAAAGGGGGCGGGAGGAAGGAGAGGAGAGCGUUUGGGACAGGUAGUUGGAAAGGAAUGAAGACCAGAACCCCAGAACUGGGCCAUCCCCUGUGGUCGGCUUGUCCAUGUCACAGUAAGAAAUGUGUGUGCUCCGUGAGCUGGUCUCUUGGCAAAGGCCUUGUGUUUUCAUCUAGAUUCUGGUUGAAUUUCUCAAACACAGAAGGUCACCAAGCACGGAUUUCUUAUCCUGUGAUAAGUAGACACUAGCCGUAGACUCUUGGCAAGGCUUCCAGGCACUGAGCUCUGGCUUCUGUUCCUCUCUCAUUCACAUUCCCAGAAGCCUCCACACGCCCUGGGAGCUCCCUGGAAUGGUACCCAACCCCCAUACACACACACACACACACACACACACACACACACACCUCUGUCCCAUGGCAGAGGCACCAUGUUCCAAUCCUCUUUGGGAGAAGGGAGGGUCAUCAUAGCUUUAAUCACAUUCACAUUAGGUCAGAGUUCAGGCACUUAGACAUGAAUACCUAACCCAGUAAGGUGGAAGACACUGAUGAAAGGAAUGUCUUAGGUGAGCAGGGAGAGAAACUGAGCAAAACAAGUCAAGUCAGUUGGCCCUUGGAGGCUUGUCUAGAGCACCAAGUAAUAAAAUAUCAGAUAGUGGGAUGGCCCUCCACUGAAACAUAACAACGACAAUAAUAAUACUUCCAUUUCCAGCCAUAUUUUUCUGCUUCCUAUUUUCCUCAUUAAGUUACAAUUCAUCUUACACCCCCAAAGUCAAUUUAGAAAAUUAUCAUUAACUCUUGAGGGAGAAAGGAUGUGUAAUGCUAUUUUUGGAUCUCCGGAUUUUAUGGGUCAGUAAAGGAAUAAUUAUUAUUUAAAAGGUAUUUAUUUAGAGGAGGCACAUUCGUGUAGAUGUCUAGGAUACCACAGGUUUUUAAAAUACUCCUUGUAUGUUUAUCUAAGUUUGCUGUUGACUGAAUACAAUAGACCCUACUGUAGUUUGUCAAAUACCACGGGUUAUGUCAUUUGUGUGGGAAUAGCUAUACAGUAUAGUGCUCUUAAUCUUGUUCAGAAUAGUGAACUGGUAGCCAAAAAUACACGUAUCACAGAUGUUAGAUAGAAUUUAAAUAACACAGUCAAGUGCUGUAGACGUUUUUCUGCUCAGUUAGUAGACUAAAGAAUAGUACAGCUUAAGCCACCGGGAGCAGCAUGUUUUCCUUUGGAAGCCAGAUCUCAGGACUAGCGAGCAGUGCCAGUUUUAUACUUUGGAUUGAGAACUGUUCUCUGGUUAUUACGAUACAGAUUGAUGUAAAUCCCUGACUUCCUUAGUGCUACCCAAUGGACGUGGGGGUAGGAAUGUGUGAAUAGGAAAGAAGUCUAGUCUUGUUAAGCAGAGGCAGUCCCAAUUUACAAGCUGAUCAUACUGGGAAACUUUCAGAUGAUUAUUUGCAACCUGGAAUGUAUUUCCUGUUAUACAUGGUGGUUAGGCCCCCAGACCAGCUAGAAAAAGUGAUUAAACCCAUAGUUCAGCUGAAAUUGGGUAAUACAAUAAGGUUGUUAAAAGAAACUAACCACUACACAUAUAUUGUUUCUAGGGGUAUUCGUUCAGUGUUGCCAAGAAUAUGUCAUUCCUGUUGUUAGUGGACUCUGGGUCGCCCACCGCAGUGACACAUACCUGCUGGAUGAAUGGUGUAGGGGCACCCCCAUCUGGAGGUGACCAGAGUGGCCUGAAGCAGGGUCUCCAGCAGAGGAGGGGGAGAGUAAGCCCGGGGCCACCAGAGAACCCAGUGUAGGCAGAGUGAGGAGGAGGAUGAGGGGCCUCUUGUGAGUUGUAACCCACAGGGACCUUCCUCAGCUGAUACCUUCCUUUCUCUGGAGGUCACAGGUUUGGCCUGUCUGCUUCCGUUAUAGGACCUUGUGCUCCUAUAGUUCAUCUCCUUCCCUGCCCCCUGCACACACACACACACACACACAGGAUGUUGCUGCAUAGUCUCUCCCACAUGCCAGUCAUUGGAGUCAUCAGACAGCACUUGUAACGGGUUCCAUGCUAGCGAAUCGCAGGUUCCCUGCCCGGCCAUCAGCUGGGGGUGGAAAAGCUUUCUACCACUUCCCUUUUCUAUAUUUGUAUGUUCUGUUGAGAACGGCGAGCCUGGGUGAUGUGAUGGUUAUGGCUUGAGGUGGACAAAGGCCUGUGGUAGGAUUCCCUGGUAUUUCAGAGGACACCACAGGCAGUUACCCCAGAACCCAGAACGGGAGUGUGGACUGAGCCUCUAGGCUAGUGGUUCUCAAAGUGUGGCCUUCAGAGCAGCCGCACCUGGAACUUGUUGGAAUGCAAACUCUCAGGCCCCACCCCAGGCCCAGUGAAACCGGAAGCUGGGGGGUUGGAGGAGCUGAGAAGCCCUCCUGGGGAUCAGUGUAGCACUGAGCCAGUCUGUCUGCCCUUUGUUCUCCCAUUAGUCCUACCCAGAGGAUGGUUCAGAGGACUCCUGGGACAAGAAAUGGGAAGCAGGACUUGGGGGCAGGGACAGGCCCCAGCCCCAGCCUCCUCCCCUCCCACUGGCACGGCUGCUGCAGGUGCUCCGUUGUAUGGCAGCUGCUUGCACGCUUGUAAGACGUUGGGCCGAGGCAUAAUAAGGCCACAUUUUUUAGAGCUGUGAAAAGAGUGAGGAGUUCCUGUGUGUUUGUGUGUUUGUUUGUUUUUAGUGGAAUUGAAAGAACAGGCCCCUUGUAAACGCAGCCUUAGAGGAAUUUCUGAGUGCACAUCAGGAGUAAGUUCUGCAGAAUGUUGAGUCAUUGGGUGGUGAUCAGUCCUGUCCUCUUGGUAAAGUGAAUUCCUUGCCGAAAGGCCUGCACUGAACACGGAGCUGCAAACUGCUUUGAAAAGCACACGGAGCUCAGAGUGUCAGAAUGCUGGGCGGCACCGCGGAGUGGGCUGGGGAGGAGGUCAGUCUGUGAUCAGAUACUUCAUUUUAUGCCUUCGAACCAAAGCCAUUAGUUCCUCUCAGUUUGUCAAUGUAAACAGCUUGAGGCUUAGAAAGGGCACGAGGAUAUAAUUCCUCCACUCCAGUUCGUAGUAAACUUCCAGCUACUUUCAAAACAAAGGAGAUACGGACUCUAGCAUUCAGCAAUGCUAACAAAUGAUUUCCUUUGGGAUAGCAGAUCUGAGAAUCCUUCAGCAACAGAACAUACUUCUUUUAAAAUACAGUUAAUUACAGGUAUUUAUUGAUACAAAGCUUACAGGUACAACUUGUGGGUACGGUGGCUAGCAACUAAAAUAAUAUCACCAUAUCUAAAAGGGAACGUUCUCGAAAAAUAUGUCAAAUUCUCUUUUUGGGUUUUCUCAGAGAAAAAUCUGUGAAAUGGGGCCCAUCUGUGUACAGACAGAAUUUGUGUGUUUAAAAAAGUAUCUAUGCAGCUGAGGCUUGUAGGAAAUGCUUCAUUUGUAUGUAAAUAUACUGUAAAUAAAUAGGAGGCUGUAUAUUUUUGCAAUUAUUGAUUCACACUGAAAUAGAAGUCUCUAUUGUCUGCAUAUCAAGAAUAAAAGUUUUCAUAGAUAUUAGUGGGGUUUGGGGGGAAUUAGAAAAAUUUACAUCCUCCGCCAGGUAACAUAGUUCUCUCAAUGUAAACUUGGAUUCUAAAAAUCUUUAAUUGUUUAGAAAGAAGUGUCUAAGAAAUAGUUGUGUUGAUUUCAUUAAGAUCAAUCAUUUAAAUGAUAUUAAGAUCAAUUAUUUAAAAGCUAGUCCUCUGAGCUACAACUAAGGAAUAUUUAGACCAAGUUAUUGUCUAUAGAAAUAGAUUUACCCAAAAUGACACACUAUUCUUCCUAAUACACUGUAUUUAUAAAAACAGAAGUUUGGGAAGGAGAAUGUUUUUAUUUUUUUCAAAAUUGAAUUGCUACAUUUCCCAUUCUUUGGGAUCUUGGGAAAGGGGAAAGAAUUUGAACAUUAACUAAGAGCACAAAUUUGAAGGAGGGAAAAAAAACACAACACUUUAUCAAGCUUUUGAAAGUCUUGCAUGUUUGCCUUAUAUUUUCAAUGUUGACCCGAACAUAGACUGUCUUAAGUCAUCUUUUCCCCAAACAUGUCACUCGUCAUCAUUGGGAUGUAAUCCACUCUCGAGUCCAGUGUAUUUCAGACUUCAUGUAAGUCCAGUACAUGCAGCACACCACUCUUCAGUCAUGUAAAAACCUUGUAAGUGGAUUUCAGAGCCAUGACUUAAGUGAGUCAUAGGUCACCAAACUGCUAUCCAUGCUUAAUCAAAUAGAGGUCUUUUCCCCCCCCAGGAUGUGGUGUAAAUAAAGAAAUGUAAGAGGUUCUGUUCUAUAAUUGCUCUAUUAACAUAGUUUUUAAACAUUAAAAACAUGAACUAAAAGUA